RNAcentral lists this ribosomal RNA (252 nucleotides) under uncultured bacterium. Its description in RNAcentral is "partial 16S ribosomal RNA". It matches the Rfam family "Bacterial small subunit ribosomal RNA", at positions 524 to 776 of the family's 1533-position model. The record is from RNAcentral.
UACGAAGGGGGCUAGCGUUGCUCGGAUUGACUGGGCGUAAAGGGCGCGUAGGCGGUUCGUACAGUCAGACGUGAAAUCCUGGGCUCAACCUGGGGGCUGCGUUUGAUACGUGCGGACUUGAGUGCGGAAGAGGGUCGUGGAAUUCCCAGUGUAGAGGUGAAAUUCGUAGAUAUUGGGAAGAACACCGGUGGCGAAGGCGGCGACCUGGUCCGAUACUGACGCUGAGGCGCGAAAGCGUGGGGAGCGAACAGG